GGAGAUGCAAUGUCAAUUUUUUAGUACCAACCUGUUUGUCAAAUCUAAUUAACUAAAAGUGCUGCCCGGCCGGUGCUUAAGCUGCUCCAGACAGCCCUGCAUCACCCUAAUCAAUUUCUCCUUCAGAGUCAAUUUGGAUCAGUUGGUGCUGACAGGGGGAGGAAAACCCUCCGUACGGAGUCAGCAGGGAUCUGGCAGCUUUCCAGUCAGGACCGUGGAUGAAAUUCUGCAGGCAGGAGGAAACUCCACUCCAGGACUGAAUCCUGGAAUGACAGUUUCGCAGGUCCAGCUGGUGUUGCAGACUCUCCACCUCCUCUUUAGAGCGACUAACUUCGGCUUCGUACAGAGCUAACGUGACGGUUCUCUCCACCUCUCCGAGGAUCUCCUCUGCUGCGGAGAACAGCCGCUGAUGAACGAACGACCUCAGCUGGAUCAUGCCGGAGUCCAUCAUGGCUCAAAAAGCAUCAACGACAGUAUCCGGAUAGGAGAUGAACUCAGCUAACAGCUAGCAGCUAGCUCAAACCGUUAGCAUAGCUUGGUGGUCCGCUAACUGCCACUGAGUGACUUCCGGUUUCAAACCUUCAGAAUAAAAGCGUCAAAAUGGAAA
Molecule: long non-coding RNA, 607 nt
Organism: Sebastes umbrosus (honeycomb rockfish)
Lineage: Eukaryota; Metazoa; Chordata; Actinopteri; Perciformes; Sebastidae
Exons: 2
Source: RefSeq, a predicted model, not a curated record